UACGUAGGGUGCAAGCGUUGUCCGGAAUUAUUGGGCGUAAAGAGCUCGUAGGCGGUCUGUCGCGUCGGCUGUGAAAACCCGGAGCUCAACUCCGGGCCUGCAGUCGAUACGGGCAGACUGGAGUUCGGCAGGGGGAGACUGGAAUUCCUGGUGUAGCGGUGAAAUGCGCAGAUAUCGGAAGGAACACCUGUGGCGAAAGCGGACUCACUGGACCAUUC
RNAcentral lists this ribosomal RNA (218 nucleotides) under uncultured bacterium. RNAcentral's name for it is "partial 16S ribosomal RNA". It matches the Rfam family "Bacterial small subunit ribosomal RNA", at positions 524 to 740 of the family's 1533-position model. The record is from RNAcentral.